CAUGGAAAUUGGGAACAAGCACUUACUCGCUUAGAGGGUGAAAAAAGUGAAUUUGCCUACAGGGCCAAUUUGGAAGCACCUCUCCCCGGAAGCCAGUCAAUGAAGAGCCAUUGGAGGAUUUUAAAUAAGGAACCGAAAAAUGGAGUCUGAAAAUAGAGGCGCAGAGACCGGUCAACCACAAUGAAGAACAAGCCAUUUUGACCUCCAUCCUGGCUCAUCUCCUCUGUGUUCUCAUAGCAUCAUAUUAUAGAAUGGAUCACAAACGCCUUUGCAGUUGCCUAUUUCUUUGUCCAUUUCUCCCUCCAGACUGCCUUUGUGAGAAAAACACCCAAAUGCCACAAGUGCAUCCCCAGGGAGCUGCAGGGUGGCAGGAGCUGAGGAUGCAAAAACAUAAUUGCCUUCUAUCUACUCUGAUUUGAGCUUCAUCAAAUCCUUUGGCUCCCAAGGCAUUCUGCAGCAGAUGUGUGCACAAUAUUCCAGCACUAGGACUUGUGUCUGCGGGUACUGCUCGAGGCCCAAGAGUCUGAGGGUCUGCAAAGCCUCCAAGCCCUUCCCCUUCCUCCCAGGCCUCAGGGCCUGUGCUGGCCACCCUCCUAUACAGCCCUUACUUGGCAUUCUUGCUAAGUCCUGUGGGGGCUCCAUCCUUGACUCUUUUCAUUCCACGCUGAUUUCUUCUGGGCUCUGCGCCUCAGGGGAGAACUUGCAAUGCUAGUAAUAAACAAAGAGUACUCAUGAUAAAAAAAUGAA
Molecule: non-coding RNA, 747 nt
Filed under: Pan troglodytes (chimpanzee)
Lineage: Eukaryota; Metazoa; Chordata; Mammalia; Primates; Hominidae
Source: RNAcentral